This 74-nucleotide transfer RNA is filed under the name Thermobifida cellulosilytica TB100. It matches the Rfam family "tRNA". Rfam says of the family: Transfer RNA (tRNA) molecules are approximately 80 nucleotides in length. Their secondary structure includes four short double-helical elements and three loops (D, anti-codon, and T loops). The record is from Rfam by way of RNAcentral. Lineage: Bacteria; Bacillati; Actinomycetota; Actinomycetes; Streptosporangiales; Nocardiopsidaceae.
GCCCCGGUAAUCCAAUCGGUAGAGAUGGUGGACUCAAAAUCCAUACAGUGUCGGUUCGAAUCCGACCCGGGGUA